UAGAUUAAUGAGUUGCCCAAUGUGAUACAGUUCCUAAGAGGCAAACUUAGGAUUCCAGCUCAGGUCAACUUGACUGAAGCUCAGACUGUCUCAUGCCUCUAGGACGAUCAUCUUUCCUUCUAGAAACCACGUUGCCUUCUCCUCACGUGCAGCUAAGCUACAGGGUUCUUCAUGGGCCGGGUGUUGAGAAAAUGGCGCCAUUAGCACGUUCUGAGGGUGGACUUGGGGGCCCGCUGACGUCAAAAGGUCACCGCGGGGACACUUGCGCAUGCCCAGAUGGAAGGCCCGCGGUCUCAACCAGUCUUAACCGGCUAGAGCUCAAACUGGACACAGCUGACUGGACGACAACUCAGGCAAACUUCUUAUCGUUUAGGCUACGUGAAGCUUAGAGGACGUGGAAGUUUUGUAAAAACAAGCCAAGAAAGAUGAUGGUUCCUUGUGGUCCCUCAUAAUAUCCAGUCCAGAUGGCUGGGAGGGGCAAGUGUACAGUACCUUGAAAAGGACAGUAGUACAGUACGACAGCUGGCAUACAGGGGCUGGCAUCGAGUGAACAGGCAAGAAGAGUUACUGACUGGAGGAGGGAGAGGAGGUGGGAGAUGGUAGAGCUGAAGGAUCGUCAGCAACAGGAGACGGAGGGCGAGCUGCAGUUUCACUCAUGCCUGAACGCACGUUCGCAUCUUUGAAAGUUCACAACUUGAAGGAGUUUCCAAACACAACCUGAACGCUGGGGUUUGCCCUGGACCCGAAGGAAGUGCUUGGGUACCCCGUACCGUGUGUG
Molecule: long non-coding RNA, 778 nt
Organism: Lagenorhynchus albirostris (white-beaked dolphin)
Lineage: Eukaryota; Metazoa; Chordata; Mammalia; Artiodactyla; Delphinidae
Exons: 5
Source: RefSeq, a predicted model, not a curated record